ACCACAUUGUCUUAUAUGAAAGUAUGCUUUAUUUACAAAUUAACACUUUUUUGUCACUGCAACUCGUUGUUUUUUGGCAUAGGGAUGGUCCUCGGCUUGCGUUUUUGUACGUUUCACUGGCCGCAUAAGCUUGUUUUUCUCGUAACACUUUUCUUCCUGAUGUUUUUCAUAAAUUUUAUACAAAUGUUUCCUGGUAUCAGACCUCUCCUUUUUAUAUUUUAUUGAUUUUUUAUAAGCUUUCUGCAUUCUGUCUGUUUUUUGUAUAGCUUUAAGUUCUUUUUCAGCAGCAGACCCAGGACUGAUUUCUGCCCCAAGUUGCUUACAGAUCACUAGGAGAGACUCACCAGGACCAAGAUUUACACUAUGAAUAGCUGAAUGGACACGACCUUCAAAGUUUUUUGUAUAGGAGCAGCAUCCCUUGGUCGCAACAGAACAGCAGGUUUGGUGUCAUUUAUAGAUUGAGUAUCGGUAUCCUUAUAUGGAAUAUUUUGCACAAGAGAAGUCAUUUUUCUGCAGCAGACCCAGGACUGAUUUCUGCCCCAAGUUGCUUACAGAUCACUAGGAGAGACUCACCAGGACCAAGAUUUACACUAUGAAUAGCUGAAUGGACACGACCUUCAAAGUUUUUUGUAUAGGAGCAGCAUCCCUUGGUCGCAACAGAACAGCAGGUUUGGUGUCAUUUAUAGAUUGAGUAUCGGUAUCCUUAUAUGGAAUAUUUUGCACAAGAGAAGUCAUUUUUCUGCAGCAGACCCAGGACUGAUUUCUGCCCCAAGUUGCUUACAGAUCACUAGGAGAGACUCACCAGGACCAAGAUUUACACUAUGAAUAGCUGAAUGGACACGACCUUCAAAGUUUUUUGUAUAGGAGCAGCAUCCCUUGGUCGCAACAGAACAGCAGGUUUGGUGUCAUUUAUAGAUUGAGUAUCGGUAUCCUUAUAUGGAAUAUUUUGCACAAGAGAAGUCAUUUUUCUGCAGCAGACCCAGGACUGAUUUCUGCCCCAAGUUGCUUACAGAUCACUAGGAGAGACUCACCAGGACCAAGAUUUACACUAUGAAUAGCUGAAUGGACACGACCUUCAAAGUUUUUUGUAUAGGUAACAUUUUUUGGUAGUGAUCUACGCAGUGAUCUGUUAAAUCCCUCGACUUUUUGAGUAUUU
Long non-coding RNA from Mytilus californianus (California mussel), 1156 nucleotides. RefSeq lists it as uncharacterized. The transcript is spliced from 7 exons. The record is from RefSeq and is a predicted model, not a curated record. Lineage: Eukaryota; Metazoa; Mollusca; Bivalvia; Mytilida; Mytilidae.